GACGAACGCUGGCGGCGUGCUUAACACAUGCAAGUCGAACGAGAAAGCCCUUCGGGGUAAGUACAGUGGCGAACGGGUGAGUAACACGUGGGCAACCUGCCCCAGAGAGCGGGACAACCCGGGGAAACCCGGGCUAAUACCGCAUGAUGCGUCUCCACUUAAGUGGAGCCGCCAAAUGGUCGCUUCGGCUUCCGCUCCGGGAUGGGCCCGCGCCGGAUGAGCUAGUUGGCUGGGGUAACGGCCCACCAAGGCGACGAUCCGGAGGUGGGCCGGGGGGAAGAUCAGCCACACUGGGACUGGGACACGGCCCAGAAGCCUACGGGAGGCAGCAGUGGGGAAUCUUGCGCAAUGGGGGAAAGCCUGACGGAACAACGCCGCGUGGGGGAAGAAGGCCUUCGGGUUGUAAACCUCUUUCAGUAGGGACGAAGCUUCCGGGGUUAAUAGCCUACGGGGUGACGGUACCUACAGAAGAAGCCCCGGCUAACUACGUGCCAGCCGCCGCCGUAA
RNAcentral lists this ribosomal RNA (507 nucleotides) under uncultured bacterium. Its description in RNAcentral is "partial 16S ribosomal RNA". It matches the Rfam family "Bacterial small subunit ribosomal RNA", at positions 28 to 523 of the family's 1533-position model. The record is from RNAcentral.